AUGUAUCCACAGAUGGUUUUGAAGUGAAGAAGCAGAAAGCUGGUGAACAACCUAACACACCCACAGGCAAAAAGCCCCGCCUCGGCAACCCUGACUACACAUGAUCUGAAGAAACCAUGAAAUGUGCAUCGCCAAGCCAGACACAAGAUUGCUCUUUCCUCAACUCGUUUCGACCUAGAGCUCCGUCAGUUUCAAUGGAUUCCCGAACAAUAUUUGCUUUAUGUGUAACAAGGAUGAUGAAAUGUAGUCGGGUGAAAGGUUUGGCUUCCAUUUAAUAUAACAAUGUAGGGCUGA
Non-coding RNA from Penaeus vannamei (Pacific white shrimp), 294 nucleotides. The record is from RefSeq and is a predicted model, not a curated record. Lineage: Eukaryota; Metazoa; Arthropoda; Malacostraca; Decapoda; Penaeidae.